This 466-nucleotide long non-coding RNA is filed under the name Triticum aestivum (bread wheat). RNAcentral's name for it is "long non-coding RNA (TAES_LNC003259)". Lineage: Eukaryota; Viridiplantae; Streptophyta; Magnoliopsida; Poales; Poaceae. The record is from RNAcentral.
UGCAGCUCAGUGACGGAAGUUUUGAAGUGCGGCUGUAAUCGCGCGGGCUGUGGGUAUGUAGUCACUCACAUAGAGCUCACUAGUUUCUAGUUCGGUUUCAGUGUACCAUUGUACCUGAUGUAUGUGUAUGUGAUUCACUUCUAAUUUUUUUUGACAAAGUGCAGCUCGCUAGUGUUGUCUUCGGUGUGCUGCUGUGAUGGGCUAGUUUCCUGUUGCAUCUCCGGUGGCUUGGAGUACCAUGGCUGGUGUGUGCGGGCCGUCCUGAUGGCAUGGGCAUGCCGUUCACUUGGAGCACCAUGGCUGGCUGUGUGCGUGCAGUCCCGAGAGCGUGGGCAUGUCAUUCACUUUAUUUUGUUUUGAAGAAAAAAAUGUCAGUGCAGUGCCGUUUGAUUUAUUUGUUCGGAAAAAAGAAAAGGUCUUCUGCACUUCACUUUCAUUUUUAGGUUGAUGCGUGUGUGGUUCAAAA